UCCAUUCUAAAAUAAGUGGUGUUUUUAAGUUUGGGACUUUGGGUACAUCUCUUAAGAAAAGUAAUCAUUCCUAAACAAUAAGAUGUAUUUUUUCCCCAGACCCUACUUCGUGAGAUGACAUUGAGUAUAUUGUUGUUGUUGUUGUAUUAAGGGGAUGAUAUGGACCGGUCAAAUUUAGAAAAUAUUCAACUCGAUCGAUCCAGGGUUUGGGUUGGUUACCCGAUUGGUGGGGCUAAGUUUGUCCUACAGGUAGGAAACUCACAAACAUGACAGUUUAGAACAUCAUUAAUAUCUAUAAUCACUUAUUUUGAAACAAAAAAAGUAAUUCUAACAGAAAAAUUGUUUAUAUAGUAAUUACAGCUAACCAUAACAAGUGUAGUCAAUCAAAUUCCCUCCAUUUUUUCCUCCUCACUCAUAUAAAUAGGGACCUCAAUAAUAAAAAAAUAAACCAUCCAUUUCAUUUUCUUUGUCCUAAAACUUUCACUUUCUCCCUUCUCUCUCUUCCCCAAACAACCAUGGCUAAAGACCUCCAAUUCCCAAAAGAUUCCUUGGAAAACCAAUCACCAAACGUGAUCAAUUCUCCUCAAAAUGAAUGCAAAACCCCAAAAUCACCCUCAUUUUGUAUCCCAAAAAACCUCAAAUGUCCAGGUGCACCUAAGAAACCUAAAAGGGUAGUUUCGUCAUCUUGCAAGAGAAGGCUGCGAUUCGUCGAGAUCAUUGCUGAAGAAGAAGUUGAAUCCUUUUUCAGAAUCAUUGAAGCUGUUGUUGACGAUGAAUGUAACAGGAAAAUCAAGAGGUCAAGGUGUAUGUAAAUUCAUAAGGAAAAAAAAAAAUUGUUUUUCAAGAAUCAUCUGGUAUCUGAAAACUCAUAGUCAUCGCGUCUCUAUUAGAAGUCCUCGGAGUUAAUCAAGAAGCGAAGAAAUCUCGUUCAUCCCAGUCGUAUUAGUUAAGCUAGCUAGUUAUUAUCAAAAAGGGUAUAGGUAUCCAGUGGUACUUUUUAUUUUUAGCAUGUCAAAUAUAUGUUGUUAGUUUUUAUGAGUUCAGACUAUUGGAUCUGAAUUCUAGAAUAUUAUGGGUGUAUAUCAAUGAAGCAUCCUGUAUGUCUUUUUUAUUUUAAGGGGGGGUAUACUAGAUUAUCUGUUCUACCAUUUUCAUCUUAAAUGAAAUUUAAUCAAACAGAUAAUUUUAUUUUAUUUGUUCGUUUUUUUACUUUCGUUAUUUCUUUCUUCUAUAUUGUUUUGAGUUGUUUUACUUUUGUAUAAAGCGUUUAUUAAAAUAAUCUUUCAACCUUCAAGGGAGAGAAAAAUUGACGGCGUAUACUUGAUCAUCUGUUCAACCAUUUCAUCUUCAAUGAAUCAUUAAAUGAAACAGUCUUUCAUUCAUUUAUCUGCUUUUUUGCUUUCGUUAUUUCUUUUUUUUUAAUUGUGUUUUACUUUGGGUUGAUCGUUUUAAGACAGUCUUUUCACUUUCAAGAUAGAGAAAAGUUUGUAUAUACUUUUUUUUGUCUUCGCACAUCUCAUUUUAUCAAAUUACGAUAGAGAAAAGUUUGUGUAUAUUUUUUUCUAUCUACGCACAUCUCAUUUUGUGAAGUUACAUUGGAUAUAUUUUUGUAUCGUCUUAAAAAAGUUUUCUGUCUUUUCUCCUUAUUUUUUUUCAUUUGGUUAUCGACUUUCCAUAGAGGUGAACUUAAUAUAUAAAAUUAACACUUUUAGAAUGAAUAUGAUUUUAUUAGAUUCAUGAUAUAUGAGUUAAAUAAUUCAAUUAAAUUUAUAAAAUUUAAUCUAAAUCCGCCUUUAAUUCUAUAAGAAAAAGACGAGAGGAUCAUAAAAAUGGUGGUUUGUUGGGAGGUUGGAGUUGGGAGAAAGUUAGAUGUGCUUUUGUUGGAAGGAAGUAAGCUUAUUAACUUUUUUUUUUUUUUUUUAAAUUUGAUUUAAGUUAUAUGUACUAAUAAAUGAUGAUGAUGAUGUAUGCGUGUAUAUAUGUAUAUAUAUUAUUGAUAAAUUUUUAUCGUAAAUGUAUGUAAAUUCUUAGUUAUGUACGUGGUUUGACAAAUUUCAGUAAAUUUAGUUGAGAUAUGCAUCCGAAUACUUGUUUUUAAUAAUUCUAAAUUGAUUUAUCAUUUAUUGAUUAUGAUUAAAAAAAGGUAUUGUAUUUGUGUUAAGAUGUUCACUUAUGUAGAAACUAAUUCAUAUAACACUUUUUUUUUAGCUCUCUAUAUACUUUAUACAAUUAGAACCUAAUAAAUGGCUUUUAAAAAAAUAAAUAAAUCAUAAACUCAAGAUGUUUUAAUUUGAUUGCGCAUAAGAAAUCUAACUUGUAAUAAUAGACUUUUCAUUAUUUUCACUAAAUUAUUAAUUGUGAAUUUAAACAAAAAUAAUAACAGUAUACAAAGUUAAAUUCUAUUAGUAGCAUAUGGGGAAGAUGAUGUGUACAUAAUCUUAUUCAUACCUUAUGAGGGUAGAAAAAUUAUUUGAUAAAUUCUCGAUUCAAGUAAAUAAUAAUAAAAUAAAAAGAGAAUAAAAUUUAGCUGAGAAUAUCAGUAACGCUAAGAAAUGACAUAAUAAUGAAUUAAAGAAAACAACGGGUCGCAAUAAGUAGUAUAAAAAAGCAAUAAGAGGAAAUAAAAUACUAAUACAAGUAUACAACUAAUAAGGGCAAGUAGAAAGCAUGACUACCUACCAUCCUUUACCCUAACGUCGAUUUAUAUAUCUUUCUAUCUGGCGAAGAUAAUAUCUCGAUAAAUUAUUUCAUUGCAUAUCCUCUAUCCUAACGUCAAUUUAUAUAUCCUUCUAUCUAGCGAGAAUCAUAUCUCGAUAAAUUGUUUAAUUUCAUUAUAUAUUCUCUAUCCUAAUGUCGAUUUAUAUAUACUCAAUUUAUUUAUUUAAAGUAAUGUAAAAUUACCUAAGACCUAAUCUAAUUUUAUACAUUUAUAUAUCAAUAUAUUUUAAACUUCUUUUCUACUAACUUUUGGAUUACUAUUACUAUUAAUAUUUAGUCAGGAAUAAGCUUGCACAACAAACAUGUUUGACACUUUUUUGUGCCUGACACACAGCAUUGGGAUUGAUAAAUUUGUAUUUUUGCUAAUUUUCUCGAAAAUGAAAUAAAUAAAGGAAGAAAAAGGAUCUGUAUUUAUUGAUGUAAACAAAUAUGCACCAUGUGUAUUUGUGAUUAUAUCAUCUAGCUAGGCUUUACAUUCAACGUGGAGUUCUUUUGUCUUUAUUGAGUAUUCGGUUAACAAUAAUUUUUUUUUUAAUAAAGUUAUAAAUAAAUAAAUAAAUAAAUUAUGAAAUCAAAUUCGUAUUCACACCAUAGUAGUGGUAUAUGGUUUUUAUACUCAACUUGUAAAUCGUGUGGCAUAUAGAUGGUUUUGAUCCUUUUAUUUUAGGAGGAACAGUCGUUCAUUAUAUUAAAACACAAACAUUAAUUAUAUAAAUUUAUUUCAUUUUAGCAUCGUUCGCUACGAUAUCUAUGCGAAAAAAAAUUGAGAUGGAAAAUACUGAAACAAUCCUUUUACGUGUAGUAUGGUUGGGUAAUUGCUCUGAUUAUUUUUCUUUUUCUAAAAAAUAACAUUAAAUAAUGACCAAGUGUUCUAACAUUUGUGACUUUAAUUUAGAAAUCUUAAUUUCACCAUUAAAAUGGAGAACAAAACAAACGGAGAAAGAUGAUAGAAAUUGAUAUUAUUUAUAUUUGGAUUAUAAAAUUCUAGUUCUUUCAUUUUCAAAAAUAUAUUAUUCUUUUUGUCCCGAAGUUAUACAAUGCAGUUUAACUAGACAAACUUUAAGAAAAACAUAUUUUAAAAUUUAUAAUCUAAAUAAGUCAUUAAAAAAAAGUGCAUUGUUACCAUUAUCGACCAACGCAUGUCUAAACUUUUUCUUAUUUAUAUUUGAUAUUUAUAUUAGACCAAACAAUCAAAUGUUAGAAAUUCCUACAAAUUAAAGUAAAAGUAUAUAUAUUAGUACUUAACUAUGUAUUAAAUAAUUAUCAAUUAUAUGUUUUGAGAAACAUAAACUUUGUGUUUAUUAAUUUGAUAUGAACAUUAUAUUAUUUUCGAGUACCCCGUAAAACAUAUGUUGGUCAAUGAUGAUUGUGAUUUGUUCAAAUGAUCCACCUAAACACGUUAUACAACCAGUAUUUUCCUUUCAACUCUUUAAUUAUUAAAUUAGACCAUAUACUAAAAUUGUGAAAUUCAGUUAUAGCCAUGGACCAUCGAGAUUGCCUAUUCAAAGCCAUUUAAUGAUGUUUAAAAUAUAAAAUAUAUACACUCAUACAGUUAUCUUUUAUAUGAAGAAAAAUAUAUUCCACGAAAAAUAUUUUUUGAAACUAAAAUAAAUAACUUUUUACUUAUUUUCUGUGUUUAUUAGUACUCAUGUAAACAGAAAUAUGGCGUGUAUUAAAAUGUUUUUUCAAUUUAAUUAAAAAUACUACGCCUUAUUAUGACGUGAGUAAAGUAAGGUCUACGACUCUACAUAUAUUAUAUUCUUCUCAAAUUCUACUUAUGAGAUUUCACUUUCUUAUUACACUGAGGGGAUCAUAUUACUAGGAUAUUAACGAAUACUAGACUGACAGCUAGGAUAAUUAAUAUCAUUAACGCUAAUAAUUUAUACUGGGCCAUAUAUAUUCAAUCUAUAAUAUAAUAAAAAUAUCUCAUUUCUAAUAAUAACUCGACAACUCAAUGAAACGAAACAAAAAUGAUUUUGAUAUCAUAUGAUGACUCUACUAUUUUCUUAAAUAAUUUUAAAACACGUAACGCAGAAUAUUUAGAUACUGUAAGAUAAACUAAAAAAAAUCAUUUACUUUAUUUAAGAUAAUAAAAAGUACCAAUAAAUUAAUAUGAUUUAAUUUCAUUUAUAUGGUCCCAAAGACCCACAUGAGAAUCGUUAUCAGCCACUUGUUAUAAAAAAAAUUAAAUUGACUUAAGAAAAAUUUAGUACCAUGUUAAUUGCAUAUUUAUUGCUUUAUUUAAUGCCAAAGAUUUAAUUAUUUUGGAGUAGAGUUCAAUCUUACGUGCCCGCGUUUAAUAAAAACUAGUCAUGUAAAGUUGAUUGCCUUACACUAAUUAAGAAAAAGCUAAAAUUAAUAUGAAUUCAAGUUAUAUACUCAUCCGUUCCAAACCAUAUGCCAAUCUUUUAUUUACGAAAUUCAAAUUAUGUGAAUUUUGUCAAGUCACAUUGACAUGACAAAAAUUACAAUUUACAGUAUUUAGUGUAUAAUUUUUAAACUAUAGGUAUUUUUAAUUUUAAAAUAUUGAAUAGAUGGAAUUCAAUUCAAUUUCAAAGAUUGAUCAAAUUAACUCCUAAAAUAAAAAUAAAAAAAGAUACUUAUUUUAGGGUAAAAAGAGUACGUUGCUAGUAUACAAGAUAUACACUAUUAGUGUAAUUUAAUCUUUAGAACAAGUCAGUUACACACAUUUAUUUUAGAUUACGAAUUAAUGUGAUUGAAUAGAGUUAUUUAUAAUGAUUUGAUUGUGUAAAUAGCUUUUAUAUAUGAUGUACUUAUAACUUAAAUUAAAUAAAAAGGGAAUAACUUCAAUUAGAGCUUAAACAGUAAGAUACUUAUAAAUGGAAUAAAGAGAAACUGCAAAAGAAAAGAAGAUAUUAGCGUACAAAGCUGGCUUAGAAUAUAUAUACUAAAGUCAGAUGUAGUAAUUAAGAAUAUAAUCUUUAUAUCUUAGUGCAUACUCACUUCACGUGACUAAUUGUAGAAAAAGGAAUACAAGAUAAUUUUAGGGUACAAAUGAAAUAAUAUUUAAUUAACGUUUUUGUUUUUCCUAGUUUUUCAUUUUGAGUUCACUAUAUGAGUUAAAAAAAAAUCUGAUUAAUUUUCUAGGAUUUCUUGCCAUUUAUUAAUAUAGGAGAGAAUUAUUCACUUUGAUUACACAAUUAUUAUUUUUAUUUCUGCAAGUUAACGGCCCGAGUUCAACUGACAAGAUACUGUCCGUUUUGACCCAAUUUUAAGAGCAUUAAGAUCGAUUUUGUCUUCUUGGACUCUGAGUGGUUUUGAAAACGAGGAUUUCAGACUUUCAGUAGACAAACUCACACAAAGGACAGUGAACUCAAAAUAUAUCUCGACAAUUAAAUUCUGAAUUCGUUCCUCUUAUGGCCUCUAACUCUGCCUCUCAUUCUCAUGUGAGAUUUGUCUAAGACGAACUCCACAAUAAAUAAUAAAUUUCUUUCAGAGUUCAAUAGACUAUAUUUCAUACUUCAUAGGUACUUGCAAACCUCCCAUUGUUAAGAUAUUGUCCGCUCUGAACCAAAUUUUAACGCCUAAUAUUUUUGCUCUUUUGGAUUUUAACCUAAAAAAUAGCCACGAUAUCUAAUUGCAUGCAUGUGUUCAUCCUUUUACGAUUUCUAACCCCCCCCCCCCCCCACCCCCCCCCCCCCCACACACUAAUAUCUUUACACAUCUUAAUGUCAUGCGUUAGGCACUAUUCCCUUUUUUUUUUUUUUUUUUUGGUAAUUAUUACGUUAUGUUUAGUGUACACACUUAUAAGCAAUUGGCUCUUAAUUUAACUAAGAUGUAGUGAUAAUACUUACACCAUGAAUAGUAACACUUACUACAUUAAUUCAUAAAUUCGUUUCACGCAUUAAAAUUAAAUUUAAUCAUUAUGAAGUUUGCAAAUAAUCAAAUCCACCAUGAUGAUACAAAAGAAAAUCCAAGUCUAUCCCAUCCACAAAGGUACAUAAAAGCAAUCAAUAAACCAAUGUAUUUUGAAUUUAACAAUAAAAACAUUUAAGUGCUAUGAUUUAUAUAAAUAGUGCAUUAUUUGGUUACAGUUACUAAUCCUUGUCUUCUGAAUAUUAUGCUAUGUUUAUCCUGUUACCUGUUAUGUCCUAUUUACUUCUGUAUUUAUUUUGCUACUACUUUUUACUUAAAAAACUGCUUUGAUAUACGAUACUUAAGUUAAGGGUCUUCCAAAAUAUAUAAUUUUUUUUUUUACCUUUAUCUUUAUAAAAUUUACAUACAAUCUAUCUUUCCAAAACCCUAUCUAUGAGAUUAUAUUGAGUAUCCUAUUUUUAUUGUUAAUUUAUUAAAAUAUUAUAAAAUAAGUAUGACGUUUCUUUUAUUUGUUUAUAUAUACUCAUAAUAAUUAGCAUGUUAGACUAGAGUAACCGUCCAAAAACAGAAGCUUUUCAAGUGGUAGUUGGUGACAAUAGCUUUCUGCAAGACUAUCCAAGAAAAGAAAGUAGAUACCUAUCAAAUAGACUAAAAAAUAAUUAGAAAAGAAAGAUAUAUAGCUUGAUAGACACACAAUACAAAAAAAAAAAAAAAAAGAGCUUAUGUUUAUGCAUAUUCAUCUACUAAGUAUUAAUAUUUUUUUCCAAUAUUGUUAGGUCAUUCAAAGUAUAUCUAUAGUCAAGACGAGAGAUUAGAUAUUGUUUAGGUUACAAGAUUCUAAAUUAUAAAUAGUAACUAUACAUAUUAAAACAAAUACAAAAUUUGGAUCAAAGUCGGACUAACUUAUAUCUUGAUUUCUAGCUCCGCCUCUAAUUUACAAAUAAAACUCCUUAAAAAUAAUGUUAUUACGAAAAAAAAUAUUUACACUGACGAUAUAUAUAAUUUAAAUCUGAAAAAAGAAGAAGAAGGGAGAUAUAGUUAUCAAAUAGAUUUAAGAAGAUAUAGAGCUAUCAAACAGAUGUAUAUAUGCAACGUAUAUUACCAAUAAAAACAUAUACAUGCAACGUAUACCUUACGUGUUAUUUACCCUUUAUUGCCGAAAGUAAAGAAAAUGACAGCAAACAAAACUAUGGAAAGGAAAAGAAAAUUCUCCAGCAGAAAAGUGGGAGAAAAAAAGGAAGAUGAAAUUCAGUUAUAUGUCUUUGUCUUCAGUUACAAGGAAAAUGUAAAAGAUGAAAGUCGCGGAUAUGAGGAUGCCGCGAUAGAUGUGUGGGUAUUUUAGGAGAGACGAUGGGAUUAAAAAUGAGGAUAUACGAGAUAAGGCGGAGUGGUUUCGGGGGAAAACAAGAUGCGGAAAGCGAUGUUGAGAUGGUCUAGAUAUGCUAACGUUGCUUGGACUCUCCAAAAAUGUUGCCGCAUCGUGUUGGAUCGAUCCUUCAAAAAUACAUAAUUUUUGGAGGAUCUGAUGACAUGCACUUGUCGAUAUUUUGAAAGAGUUCAAGCAACACAGUAGAUAUGUGAUGAGGAGAUGCGCGGAUGUCCCGAAGUGUAGAGAAGGGAAAAUGGCUUACAAGGUAAAGGAUAAAGAAAAUUCCCCAUGCAGAAAAGUGGGAGAAAAAAAGGAGCAUAAAAUUCAGUUAUAAGUCACUUAUAUGUCUUUGUCUUCUGUUACAAGUAAAAUGUGUUUGUAACCUUUUUUUCAACUGUUUUUUGUUUUACUAGAUGAGAGAUUUUAUGUAGAAUUUAUUGUUAGAGGAUUUAUCUAGAGAUAGUAAAAUUAAAAGUUAAAUUAUAACUACUACAGAUUAAAAUAUCUGUAUGUAGAAUGUAGAUUGGAUGUAUAGUGAGUUCAGGGGCAGAGCUAGUGUAUAUUGUGGGGGUUCGGACGAAUCCAGUAGUUUUUUCGUAGAUUUUGUAUUUGUAUUAGAAAAUUCAAUAUAUAUAUAUAAAUAAUAAUGUUUGAACCCCCACCAUUUUUACUAUUCUAACUACCUUAACUAACAAGAGAUUUGAUAUAAAACAAUUCCACUUUCUUUUCAUACUAAAGUCACGACACAAAACAUAACUGAACAAUGCGUGAUGCUGUCUCAAUAGUGUUUUGAAUUAGAGCAUAAUGUAGUGGAUAUAAAUUAUAAAAAAAAAUGUUGUUUGUGCAUAUCAUAGUUUUUAUCUAUUUUCUAUUCAUCUGCUCUUCUUUCAUUCUAAAAUUUUACUAAAUAUUAACAUACAGUGUUCAUAUUUUUGACACACAUUUACUGAACAAGUAGAAACAUUUAGAUUCACAGUAUAAUAUAUGAUAAUAAAAGUUCACAUAAUCGGAUAUAAUCAUUAACAUGAAUUUAAACAUCAUUCAGUUUUACUAUAAAAUUCAUAAAGUGGAUGACACAAAUAAAAUAAGAACCUGUUGAUAAUUAAAACAGAAGAUUCGAACAUUGUCACCGAAAACUUGAACAGAAAACUCCAACUUCAGACUUUCAUUUUUUCCUUCUUUGUUUUUCUCCUUACAAGUUUUCUCACUGUAUUUUUUUUUCUCUUUGUUUUAUGAUAAAUUUUUUUCAGUGUUUUUCUAAUGGUAUAGGAAUAGUACGU
RNAcentral lists this long non-coding RNA (9204 nucleotides) under Capsicum annuum. Its description in RNAcentral is "long non-coding RNA (CANN_LNC019848)". Lineage: Eukaryota; Viridiplantae; Streptophyta; Magnoliopsida; Solanales; Solanaceae. The record is from RNAcentral.